RNAcentral lists this non-coding RNA (27 nucleotides) under Rattus norvegicus (Norway rat). Lineage: Eukaryota; Metazoa; Chordata; Mammalia; Rodentia; Muridae. The record is from RNAcentral.
UGACACGUGAUAAAAAGAAAUGCUAGG